RNAcentral lists this ribosomal RNA (675 nucleotides) under uncultured Vibrionaceae bacterium. Its description in RNAcentral is "bacterial SSU rRNA". It matches the Rfam family "Bacterial small subunit ribosomal RNA", at positions 1 to 671 of the family's 1533-position model. The record is from RNAcentral. Lineage: Bacteria; Pseudomonadati; Pseudomonadota; Gammaproteobacteria; Vibrionales; Vibrionaceae.
UAGAGUUUGAUCAUGGCUCAGAUUGAACGCUGGCGGCAGGCCUAACACAUGCAAGUCGAGCGGUAACAGGAAUUAGCUUGCUAAUUCGCUGACGAGCGGCGGACGGGUGAGUAAUGCCUGGGGAUAUGCCUUAGUGUGGGGGAUAACUAUUGGAAACGAUAGCUAAUACCGCAUAAUGUCUUCGGACCAAAGAGGGGGAUCUUCGGACCUCUCGCGCUAAGAUUAGCCCAGGUGAGAUUAGCUUGUUGGUGAGGUAAGAGCUCACCAAGGCGACGAUCUCUAGCUGGUCUGAGAGGAUGAUCAGCCACACUGGAACUGAGACACGGUCCAGACUCCUACGGGAGGCAGCAGUGGGGAAUAUUGCACAAUGGGCGAAAGCCUGAUGCAGCCAUGCCGCGUGUAUGAAGAAGGCCUUCGGGUUGUAAAGUACUUUCAGUCGUGAGGAAGGGUGUGUAGUUAAUAGCUGCACAUCUUGACGUUAGCGACAGAAGAAGCACCGGCUAACUCCGUGCCAGCAGCCGCGGUAAUACGGAGGGUGCGAGCGUUAAUCGGAAUUACUGGGCGUAAAGCGCAUGCAGGUGGUUCAUUAAGUCAGAUGUGAAAGCCCGGGGCUCAACCUCGGAACCGCAUUUGAAACUGGUGAACUAGAGUACUGUAGAGGGGGGUAGAAUUUCA